CGGGGUGUAGCUCAGUUGGCUCAGAGCGCAUGGUUCGGGACCAUGAGGUCCCCGGUUCAAAUCCGGGCACCCCGA
RNAcentral lists this transfer RNA (75 nucleotides) under Candidatus Desantisiibacteriota bacterium. RNAcentral describes it as "Candidatus Desantisbacteria bacterium (hot springs metagenome) tRNA-Pro". It matches the Rfam family "tRNA". Rfam says of the family: Transfer RNA (tRNA) molecules are approximately 80 nucleotides in length. Their secondary structure includes four short double-helical elements and three loops (D, anti-codon, and T loops). The record is from RNAcentral. Lineage: Bacteria; Candidatus Desantisiibacteriota.